UUUGAGUUCCUGUCUGUACUUCCUUCAGUGAUGAAGCAAUGCUGAAGUGGUCUCUAAUUAGCCUGGAAUAUACCUAGUAGGCUGAGCUGGUUGGUCUGAGAGUCUUAGAGACCUGCCUGUGUCUGUCUUCCCUGGCGGAGUAAUAGUCACAAAAUGAAAAUGUAGACACCAUGUACAAACAAGAAGUUCGUGCAAAGUCAAGUUUUCAAAACCACAUGCAAGUCUCAGCGGCACAUGGCUUAGAGCUCACACGCUCCA
Mesocricetus auratus (golden hamster) is the source of this 258-nucleotide long non-coding RNA. RefSeq lists it as uncharacterized. The transcript has 3 exons. Lineage: Eukaryota; Metazoa; Chordata; Mammalia; Rodentia; Cricetidae. The record is from RefSeq and is a predicted model, not a curated record.